UGGGAAUUUUGGACAAUGGGCGCAAGCCUGAUCCAGCCAUGCCGCGUGCGGGAAGAAGGCCUUCGGGUUGUAAACCGCUUUUGUCAGGGAAGAAAUCUUCUGAGUUAAUACCUCGGGAGGAUGACGGUACCUGAAGAAUAAGCACCGGCUAACUACGUGCCAGCAGCCGCGGUAAUACGUAGGGUGCAAGCGUUAAUCGGAAUUACUGGGCGUAAAGCGUGCGCAGGCGGUUUUGUAAGACAGAGGUGAAAUCCCCGGGCUCAACCUGGGAACUGCCUUUGUGACUGCAAGGCUUGAGUGCGGCAGAGGGGGGAUGGAAUUCCGCGUGUAGCAGUGAAAUGCGUAGAUAUGCGGAGGAACACCGAUGGCGAAGGCAAUCCCCUGGGCCUGCACUGACGCUCAUGCACGAAAAGCGUGGGGAGCAAAACAGGAUUAGAUACCCCUGGUAGUCCACGCCCUAAACGGAUGUCAACUGGUUGUUGGGAAGGUUCCUUCUCAGUAACGUAGCUAACGCGUGAAGUUGACCGCCUGGGGAGUACGGCCGCAAGGUUGAAACUUAAAUGAAUUGAC
RNAcentral lists this ribosomal RNA (570 nucleotides) under uncultured bacterium. RNAcentral's name for it is "partial 16S ribosomal RNA". It matches the Rfam family "Bacterial small subunit ribosomal RNA", at positions 356 to 914 of the family's 1533-position model. The record is from RNAcentral.